UGAGAAUAGUGACAUAUUCAAGAUGGUUAAAAUGAUUAUCCAGCGGCAAUACGAUCCUGUAAUAUGCUUCAGCUUCAGCAAAAGAGAAUGUGAAUUUCUAGCAAUGCAGAUGUCUAAAAUGGAUUUAAACAAUGAUGAUGAGAAGGUGAAUAUUGAAACUAUUUUCUGGAGUGCCAUGGACAUGUUGUCGGAUGAUGAUAAAAAGCUGCCUCAGGUUUCAAAUAUGCUACCUCUAUUGAAACGUGGAAUUGGUGUGCAUCAUUCUGGUUUGCUCCCUAUAUUGAAAGAAGUGAUUGAAAUCCUGUUCCAAGAAGGAUUCAUCAAGUGUUUGUUUGCCACAGAGACUUUCAGUAUAGGGUUGAACAUGCCUGCAAAAACUGUUGUCUUUACAAAUGUCCGUAAAUUUGAUGGAGAC
RNAcentral lists this unclassified non-coding RNA (415 nucleotides) under Hevea brasiliensis (rubber tree). Lineage: Eukaryota; Viridiplantae; Streptophyta; Magnoliopsida; Malpighiales; Euphorbiaceae. The record is from RNAcentral.